UCCUUUACUGGCUGGUAAUCUCUGGAG
RNAcentral lists this non-coding RNA (27 nucleotides) under Homo sapiens (human). The record is from RNAcentral. Lineage: Eukaryota; Metazoa; Chordata; Mammalia; Primates; Hominidae.